RNAcentral lists this long non-coding RNA (806 nucleotides) under Homo sapiens (human). RNAcentral describes it as "non-protein coding lnc-TGFBI-80:11". Lineage: Eukaryota; Metazoa; Chordata; Mammalia; Primates; Hominidae. The record is from RNAcentral.
CAAAGAUCCCAUUUCCAAAUAAGGUCAUAUCCACAAGUGCCAGGGCUUAAGACUUGAACAUGUCCUAUGGGGGACACACAACAACAUAUAAUUCACAGCGAACAGAGCACAGGCUUCAGAGUGGGUCAGACCUGGGUGCUGCCAUUUAGCCUGUCCCUUCUGCUUGGCACAGUGAGGUUGGAAAGAUGUGUCAGAACUGUGACGCUGAAUCCGGAGCCCCAACCUCUCCUAGCCUCCUAGAGGAGGAUGACCCAGGACCCUUGUCCUCCCAACAGCAGGCCACCAGUUCAAGGGACAAGAAGCCCCUAAGCUCCCUCCACCUUUCACAUAGGGCCCAGGUGGCCUUGGAGUACCUGCCUUUCUUCUGCACCUAUGGGUGCCUCCUGGAAGAGGAGGGGUUGGUCCUGCAGCCCAAGACACCGCUCCAGGAGGACUCAGAACUGCUCAGUGGGUUCUUCCCUUACUACCGCUCUGAGGAGGAGAGUUUGCCCAGCCUGGCCCUUCCUGGCUGGUCACACAGGGGCUCCCAAGAUCUGCCCACUGAGAAGGAGGCACGGGCUGGCUGCUUCUGCAGGACAACAGUCAGGGACGAAUGCUCUACUCUAACAGGCCCCUGGACAGGCCCCUCUCAGGGCUGCUGCGGCCCUUGGAGCAAGGUGUCACUGGUUGGGAGCACAGACACUGCAGGAAGACUGUCCUGUUCAAGCCCAGCUUGACCACCUGCUAGGAGAGCGGCCUGGGGAACGUGGUUUCCUUAUAAAAGAGAGAACAGCAGCAGCAACAAUAAAGCCAUUGUGAGAAUUACA